GACGAACGCUGGCGGCGUGCCUAAUACAUGCAAGUAGAACGCACAGUUUAUACCGUAGCUUGCUACACCAUAGACUGUGAGUUGCGAACGGGUGAGUAACGCGUAGGUAACCUGCCUGGUAGCGGGGGAUAACUAUUGGAAACGAUAGCUAAUACCGCAUAAUAUUAAUUAUUGCAUGAUAAUUAAUUGAAAGGUGCAAUUGCACCACUACCAGAUGGACCUGCGUUGUAUUAGCUAGUAGGUGAGGUAACGGCUCACCUAGGCGACGAUACAUAGCCGACCUGAGAGGGUGAUCGGCCACACUGGGACUGAGACACGGCCCAGACUCCUACGGGAGGCAGCAGUAGGGAAUCUUCGGCAAUGGACGAAAGUCUGACCGAGCAACGCCGCGUGAGUGAAGAAGGUUGUCGGAUCGUAAAGCUCUGUUGUAAGAGAAGAACGGGUGUGAGAGUGGAAAGUUCACACUGUGACGGUAUCUGAACAGAAAGGGACGGCUAACUACGUG
RNAcentral lists this ribosomal RNA (505 nucleotides) under uncultured bacterium. RNAcentral describes it as "partial 16S ribosomal RNA". It matches the Rfam family "Bacterial small subunit ribosomal RNA", at positions 28 to 507 of the family's 1533-position model. The record is from RNAcentral.